GAUGAGGGAUGGCGCCGGCGCAGGCCUGCGCGCCACGCGCUUUAGGUGGAUGAGGGAUGGCGCAGGUGCAGGCCUGCGCGCCUCACGCUUUAUGUACAUGAGGGAUGAGGCAGCACAGGAAUUGGCACAACCUGAAGUCAGCUCUGCAGCUUUCCAAGCUUCGUUCUGCGUGUCCUGUACUCAACAGUCAUCUCAUGCUGCAGGGUGGCUGCGUGUGCUCCGUACAUCACACCCAUAUUUCAGAGUGUCUGCCUGGAUCUCGGAUGGUCGUAAGCCACAGAGCACCUGUCACUGAGGACCUUCAUUCCACAGCAUGUCUGCCUGGAUGUCGGAUGGUCGGAGGACACACAGCGCCUGUCACCGAGGACCUUCAUUCCACAGCGUGUCUGCCUGGAUCUCGGAUGGUGGGAGGACACACAGCGCCUGUCACUGAGGACCUUCAUUCCACAGCGUGUCUGCCUGGAUCUCGGAUGGUGGGAGGACACACAGCGCCUGUCACUGAGGACCCUUCAUUCCACAGCGUGUCUGCCUGGAUCUCGGAUGGUGGGAGGACACACAGCGCCUGUCACCGAGGACCUUCAUUCCACAGAUUCCACAGUGUGUCUCCCUGGAUCUUGGAUGGUGGCUCUUCAGAGUCAAUCUUUUCCUUGAUGUUCACCGAUAAGUCAGAGAAUGGCAACAAAUCCUGGGAAAGGAGAUUUUUUGUAACUGAGCUUUUCCUUCAGGGAACAAUGGGAAGUGUUUUCUGUUUGUUUGUUUUGUUUUUUUUUCAAUAGAGACAUGGUUUUGCCAUAUUGCCCAGGUUGGUCUUGAACUCCUGGGCUCAAGCGAUCCUCCCACCUCAGCCUCCUUAAGUGCUGGGAUUACAAGUGUGAGCCACUGCACCUGGUCUUUGUGUGUGUGUGUGUUUUUUUUAGACAGGGUCUCACUCUGUCACCCAGGCUGGAGUAUGGUGGUGCAAGUGGUGCAGCCAUAGCUCACCGCAGCCUAAUUAUUUUGUAUUUUUUCAUAGAGGCAGAGUCUUCCUAUGUUGCCCAGGCUGGUCUCGAACUCCUGGGCUCAAGCCAUCCACUGAACUUGGCCUCCCACCGUGCUGGAACCACAGGUGUGAGUCACCGUGUCCGGCCAAGGCUGACAUUUUUGAGGAGCGGUUGAGGGAUUUGGCUUCUUCCCUUGACUCUGAGACCAGAGGACAGACCAAAGGCUGGGAGGAAAUUCAGCAGUGUGGCCCUCCUCGGGACGUAAGAUGCCCGUUCUCAGAUUUGGAGAUGCCAGAAAACAAGGCCCAGGAAAGGACCCCGUGCAGGGCCCAGGGCUCCGGGUACUGUGGUCCCAGUGGGCCUGUUAAUUCUCAGACUGUUAGUGCGUCUUAAAAUGUCUUAUAAAGCAGGGAAAGGUACAUUUCCGCCAUCUGUAACAAAGCACCUUCGUGAAAUAAGCCACGAGUUAAAAAGUAAAAUUGGGAUUCCUGGAAGAGACGCCUCCGUGUUAGAGGCCGUCAGAGCACGGGCUUUGAACAAAACUUCCGGAACGUAUGUGAGUGGCUGUGAUGCUGCAGGACCGUCGGAAGACAAAUAACUUCUCUAUCUGGUUCCUACCUAAUAACCUUUACAAUAAAGAGGAAAUCAACC
Homo sapiens (human) is the source of this 1631-nucleotide long non-coding RNA. Ensembl annotates it as long intergenic non-protein coding RNA 200. Lineage: Eukaryota; Metazoa; Chordata; Mammalia; Primates; Hominidae. The record is from Ensembl.